GAUGAACGCUGGCGGCGUGCCUAAUACAUGCAAGUCGAGCGAACAGACGAGGAGCUUGCUCCUCUGACGUUAGCGGCGGACGGGUGAGUAACACGUGGAUAACCUACCUAUAAGACUGGGAUAACUUCGGGAAACCGGAGCUAAUACCGGAUAAUAUAUUGAACCGCAUGGUUCAAUAGUGAAAGACGGUUUUGCUGUCACUUAUAGAUGGAUCCGCGCCGCAUUAGCUAGUUGGUAAGGUAACGGCUUACCAAGGCAACGAUGCGUAGCCGACCUGAGAGGGUGAUCGGCCACACUGGAACUGAGACACGGUCCAGACUACUACGGGAGGCAGCAGUAGGGAAUCUUCCGCAAUGGGCGAAAGCCUGAUGGAGCAACGCCGCGUGAGUGAUGAAGGUCUUCGGAUCGUAAAACUCUGUUAUUAGGGAAGAACAAAUGUGUAAGUAACUAUGCACGUCUUGACGGUACCUAAUCAGAAAGCCACGGCUAACUACGUG
RNAcentral lists this ribosomal RNA (497 nucleotides) under uncultured bacterium. RNAcentral's name for it is "partial 16S ribosomal RNA". It matches the Rfam family "Bacterial small subunit ribosomal RNA", at positions 28 to 507 of the family's 1533-position model. The record is from RNAcentral.